RNAcentral lists this ribosomal RNA (377 nucleotides) under uncultured alga. RNAcentral's name for it is "bacterial LSU rRNA". It matches the Rfam family "Bacterial large subunit ribosomal RNA", at positions 2103 to 2459 of the family's 2925-position model. The record is from RNAcentral.
ACACUUUGCACUAUAGCUUCGCCUUGGCGUUAGCGGACCGUAUGUGUAGGAUCGGUGGGAGGCUAUGAAACCGGGGCGCCAGCUCUGGUGAGCCAUCCUUGAAAUACCACCCUUACUGUCGGUUGACGUCUAACCGAGGCCGUUAUCCGGUCCCGGGACAUGGCGGUGGUGGGUAGUUUGACUGGGGCGGUCGCCUCCUAAAGUGUAACGGAGAGCGCGCCCGAUGGUGGGCUCAGACCGGUCGGAAAGUCGGUCGUCGAGUGCAAUGGCAUAAGCCCGCCUGACUGCGAGACUGACAACGUCGAGCAGAGACGAAAGUCGGCCAUAGUGAUCCGGUGGUCCGCGUGGAAGGGCCAUCGCCUCAACGGAUAAAGGUA